RNAcentral lists this ribosomal RNA (1590 nucleotides) under human gut metagenome. Its description in RNAcentral is "bacterial LSU rRNA". It matches the Rfam family "Bacterial large subunit ribosomal RNA", at positions 1350 to 2925 of the family's 2925-position model. The record is from RNAcentral.
GUUUCCUGCACGAAUUGUCGUCCAAGGGUAAGUCGGGACUAAAUUCGAGGCGGAGACGGGUAGGAGAUGACAAACAGGUGAAAAUUCCUGUACUGCUGAAGGCGUUUGAGCGAAGGAGUGACACAGGAAGGAAGGCGCGCGUGCGAUUGGAAGAGCACGUCCAAGCAGGUAGGUGGGAGACAGGCAAAUCCGUUUCCCGAGAGGCCGAGAUGCGAUGGGGAGCUUCUGGAGACAGAAGCGAAGGGGCUGGCACUAAACUGUCGAGAAAAGCUUCUAGUGAGGACUCAGGCACCCGUACCGAAACCGACACAGGUAGGCAGGAUGAGAAUUCUAAGGUGCGCGGGAAAACCCUCGUUAAGGAACUCGGCAAAAUAUAUCCGUAACUUCGGGAAAAGGAUAACCCAGCGUACGUGAAGUGCAGAAACGCACGGAGCGGAGAUGGGUGGCAGAAGAGAGGCCCAAGCGACUGUUUACCACAAACACAGGCGUCUGCUAAAGCGAAAGCUGAUGUAUAGAUGCUGACACCUGCCCGGUGCUGGAAGGUUAAGAGGAAGUGUUAGCGCAAGCGAAGCAGUGAAUUGAAGCCCCAGUAAACGGCGGCCGUAACUAUAACGGUCCUAAGGUAGCGAAAUUCCUUGUCGGGUAAGUUCCGACCCGCACGAAAGGUGUAACGAUUUGGGCACUGUCUCAACGAGGGACCCGGUGAAAUUGAAGUACCUGUGAAGAUGCAGGUUACCCGCGACUGGACAGAAAGACCCCAUGGAGCUUUACUGUAACCUGAGAUUGGAUUCCGGUAAGAGAUGUACAGGAUAGUUGGGAGGCUGAGAAGUGAGUACGCCAGUAUUCACGGAGCCAUUGGUGGGAUACCAACCUUGUUUUAUUGGAAUUCUAACGAGAAGCGUAACGAGCUUGCGGACAGUCUCAGGCGGGCAGUUUGACUGGGGCGGUCGCCUCCGAAAGAGUAACGGAGGCGCCCAAAGGUUCCCUCAGCGCGGACGGAAACCGCGCGAAGAGUGCAAAGGCAGAAGGGAGCUUGACUGCGAGACGGACAGGUCGAGCAGGGACGAAAGUCGGGCUUAGUGAUCCGGUGGUAGAGAGUGGAAUUGCCAUCGCUCAACGGAUAAAAGCUACCCUGGGGAUAACAGGCUUAUCUCUCCCAAGAGUCCAUAUCGACGGGGAGGUUUGGCACCUCGAUGUCGGCUCAUCACAUCCUGGGGCUGAAGUAGGUCCCAAGGGUUGGGCUGUUCGCCCAUUAAAGUGGUACGCGAGCUGGGUUCAGAACGUCGUGAGACAGUUCGGUCCCUAUCCAUCGCGGGCGUAAGAAACUUGAAAGGGGCUGCUCCUAGUACGAGAGGACCGGAGUGGACCGACCAAUGGUGUACCAGUCAUGGCGCCAGCCGUGCAGCUGGGUAGCUACGUCGGGGACGGAUAAACGCUGAAAGCAUCUAAGCGUGAAACCAGCCUAGAGAUGAGGUUUCUCAUUACGAAAGUAAGUAAGGUCCCACAAAGACGAUGUGGUUGAUAGGCCGGGAGUGGAAGUACAGCGAUGUACGGAGCGGACCGGUACUAAUAGACCGAGGACUUGACUUA